CUGGCCUUGACAUGCCACUNACGAAGCAGAGAUGCAUUAGGUGCUCGAAAGAGAAAGUGGACACAGGUGCUGCAUGGCUGUCGUCAGCUCGUGUCGUGAGAUGUUGGGUUAAGUCCCGCAACGAGCGCAACCCUUGCCAUUAAUUGCCAUCAUUUAGUUGGGCACUUUAAUGGGACUGCCGGUGACAAACCGGAGGAAGGUGGGGAUGACGUCAAGUCCUCAUGGCCCUUAUGGCCAGGGCUUCACACGUAAUACAAUGGUCGGUACAGAGAGUUGCCAACCCGCGAGGGGGAGCUAAUCUCAGAAAGCCGAUCGUAGUCCGGAUUGUUCUCUGCAACUCGAGAGCAUGAAGUCGGAAUCGCUCGUAAUCGCGGAUCAGCAUGUCGCGGUGAAUACGUUCCCGGGCCUUGUACACACCGCCGUCACGCCAUGGGAGUGGGUUUUACCAGAAAGUAGUUAGUCUAACCGCAAGGGGGACGAUUACCACNGUAGUAUUCAUGACUGGGGGA
This 509-nucleotide ribosomal RNA is filed under the name uncultured bacterium. RNAcentral's name for it is "bacterial SSU rRNA". It matches the Rfam family "Bacterial small subunit ribosomal RNA", at positions 975 to 1483 of the family's 1533-position model. The record is from RNAcentral.